Molecule: ribosomal RNA, 466 nt
Filed under: uncultured bacterium
Lineage: Bacteria
Description: partial 16S ribosomal RNA
Rfam family: Bacterial small subunit ribosomal RNA
Source: RNAcentral
GGACGAACGCUGGCGGCGUGCUUAACACAUGCAAGUCGAACGGAAAGGCCCUGCUUGCAGGGUACUCGAGUGGCGAACGGGUGAGUAACACGUGGGUGAUCUGCCCUGCACUUCGGGAUAAGCCUGGGAAACUGGGUCUAAUACCGGAUAGGAGCCAUUUUUAGUGUGAUGGUUGGAAAGUUUUUUCGGUGUAGGAUGAGCUCGCGGCCUAUCAGCUUGUUGGUGGGGUAAUGGCCUACCAAGGCGGCGACGGGUAGCCGGCCUGAGAGGGUGGACGGCCACAUUGGGACUGAGAUACGGCCCAGACUCCUACGGGAGGCAGCAGUGGGGAAUAUUGCACAAUGGGCGCAAGCCUGAUGCAGCGACGCCGCGUGGGGGAUGACGGCCUUCGGGUUGUAAACUCCUUUCGCUAGGGACGAAGCUUUUUGUGACGGUACCUAGAUAAGAAGCACCGGCUAACUACGUG